This is a long non-coding RNA of Oncorhynchus keta (chum salmon), 3459 nucleotides long. RefSeq lists it as uncharacterized. The record is from RefSeq and is a predicted model, not a curated record. The transcript is spliced from 4 exons. NCBI's taxonomy places the organism in Eukaryota, Metazoa, Chordata, Actinopteri, Salmoniformes, Salmonidae.
GUGAGGCAGAGGCAGUGCUGGUAGAGUAUGUAUAAAACAGGUGGUGAGAAGCAGUAUAGUGAGGCAGAGGCAGUGCUGGUAGAGUAUGUAUAAAACAGAUGGUGAGAAGCAGUAUAGUGAGGCAGAGGCAGUACUGGUAGAGUAUGUAUAAAACAGAUGGUGAGAAGCAGUAUAGUGAGGCAGAGGCAGUGCUGGUAGAGUAUGUAUAAAACAGGUGGUGAGAAGCAGUAUAGUGAGGCAGAGGCAGUACUGGUAGAGUAUGUAUAAAACAGAUGGUGAGAAGCAGUAUAGUGAGGCAGAGGCAGUACUGGUAGAGUAUGUAUAAAACAGAUGGUGAGAAGCAGUAUAGUGAGGCAGAGGCAGUACUGGUAGAGUAUGUAUAAAACAGAUGGUGAGAAGCAGUAUAGUGAGGCAGAGGCAGUGCUGGUAGAGUAUGUAUAAAACAGGUGGUGAGAAGCAGUAUAGUGAGGCAGAGGCAGUACUGGUAGAGUAUGUAUAAAACAGAUGGUGAGAAGCAGUAUAGUGAGGCAGAGGUAGUGCUGGUAGAGUAUGUAUAAAACAGAUGGUGAGAAGCAGUAUAGUGAGGCAGAGGCAGUGCUGGUAGAGUAUGUAUAAAACAGAUGGUGAGAAGCAGUAUAGUGAGGCAGAGGCAGUACUGGUAGAGUAUGUAUAAAACAGGUGGUGAGAAGCAGUAUAGUGAGGCAGAGGCAGUACUGGUAGAGUAUGUAUAAAACAGAUGGUGAGAAGCAGUAUAGUGAGGCAGAGGUAGUGCUGGUAGAGUAUGUAUAAAACAGGUGGUGAGAAGCAGUAUAGUGAGGCAGAGGCAGUGCUGGUAGAGUAUGUAUAAAACAGGUGGUGAGAAGCAGUAUAGUGAGGCAGAGGCAGUACUGGUAGAGUAUGUAUAAAACAGAUGGUGAGAAGCAGUAUAGUGAGGCAGAGGUAGUACUGGUAGAGUAUGUAUAAAACAGAUGGUUAGAAGCAGUAUAGUGAGGCAGAGGCAUGGCUGGUAGAGCAUGUCUUGCUGUCCUAGCUCUCUGAUCACGUCUCAGACUUCCAGUCACACACUGGAGAGGAAACACUUCCCUGUUCCCUCUAAACUCCCAAUCCCCCCGAGAGCCAGCUAGGCUUGACACUGCUGGACCCUUUCACUUUCAGGGUCAGAUUAGGGGAGCAUAUGGCUUAAAGGGACACCAAGAAGGUCUGUAGAGGAUACUGGUGGAUACUGUGCUACCCCGGGUUGUUCUGAGACCUUGGACAUGCUUUAGACCACAGAGUCAGAGUGGGCUUCAGAGCAGGCAGGGGACACAGACUAGCACCUGGCUGUGAGAACACUCACACACACACACACACACACACACACACACACACACACACACACACACACACACACACACACACACACACACACACACACACACACACACACACACACACACACACACACACACACACACACACACACACACACACACACACACACACACACACACACACACACACACACAUCCCCGCACACACUCCCAUGUGGAGUUUCAGUCACCAGAUUAGUAUCCACAGAAUGUAAUAUUUGGAGUUAUAGGUUUUUCCUUUAUUCCGCUGUGAGAGUAAAAUAAAACUACUUUCCCUCUUUUCUCUGUGUAAUCCCUAAUCUCACCAGUCACCAACAGUAAUCCUAAUCGUCUAAAAACAUGCAGCGGAGCAUGAUACAGUAGGGACCCGAAACAGACGUAGGAAAAGGAAAAGUGCUUGUUUCUUCCUCUUUAUCCCUCUAUCCAGCUGCACAUCUGCUGGAUGUCUCAUGUAUAUUGGCAUGCUCUGAUAAACAAGAGUGAUGUCAUAAUUAGUGAAGCUCCCCAUGAGAGAGGGAAGGGAACAUUUAGAAGAAAUGAGAGUAAAUAGAGAAGAGGGAGAGAGGUAGAGGCAAUAGAGAGAUAAAUAAAGAGAGACAGAGACAGAGGGAAAGACAGAGAGAUAUAUAGAAAGGGGGAGGAGGAGAAGAGAGAAAGAAACCCAAGUCUUAAACAGAGCCUUGUAUUUAGUUCCAGUCCCUCCUGGUGUGGAUUCGGACACUGACAGGAUCACAUUUAACACAUGUUGUCAGAUGAAGCAGGGGGAUUCCAUUGGACAACAAGGGAGGACUCUCACAUUGAGCUCCGAGAGGUCAAAGUGCACAACCCUGCCCCUUCCUCCUCCGUCCUGCCACCCCACUGUAACUAGUCAGCUGGUCCUACUCACCAUGCCACCACACCCGCCACGAACAGCGGGACCUGUUGUGUCCCCCUCUGAUGACCUUCUCCAUCCCACAAUGCUCCUCUCUGUGGGGCCCUCAGGACCAGCUGCAGACCUUGGCUCCCUCAUCUGCCUUAUUGACAGGAAGUGAAUCAUCAAUCCAGACUCAACCCCUGACCCCUCUGUCUCUCAUAGUACUUCCUAGCCCUCAGUACCCGGGUUGGCCAAAUAGUGUUUACACAACUAUUUCAUGGCAGGGCCAGGUCAGAUUAGAUCAGAUGAGCUGAUACCAUGCUCCUCCACGAUAUGAAGUCUAAUGAAGUGUGAACGUGGCUUUGGCCACACCACAUCCAAGGCUAAUUAAAGGAUAGUGUAAACAGAAAAGUAGCACAUCUGAUAUCGAAGAAAGGCUGAUUUUACUUUGCAUAUUUUGUGAAAAGGCCAACAACAAAAAACUCUCCUACGGAGACACACACACACUUACACACAUAGUCACAACUGUUCCGGUUCAGAAUAUUCAGAAGCUCUUUGUUCCUGAUUGAGAGAUUACAUCACAGCAUCAACUUUUUUUUUUAAAGAAUGAAGCCGGGUAGUUUCAAAAACUGUCAAGAUCCUUUUACAUUACAGCCAAAAACUUCUUAUCGUUUGCCAAAGCAGUUAGAUCUCCCCAUUUCCGAUCAAAAGCCCUAUAAUCUCAGAGAAACGAUUUAUGUGGCUUUCUUUGUGUCUGUGAUAUAUCGACGGGGGGAUUCUGAACACUCAUGUCCUCUGAGCUUGGCUGAGGAGAGGAGUCGAGAAGCAAAACACUGUUUGUCUUUGAGAGUAAACAGAGUUUAGUGAGGGAUGAGCUCACCUGUGGAAAUAGACGAGUGGAGCAAGGGAGGAGAAUAAGAGAAGUAGAUGGAGAGAGGUGCAGGCGACGCUUGGAGGGUUUCAGAACCUUACAGACACUUUAUCCAACACCAGAUGUGCUGUGGAUUAUGAGUGAGCUAAAUGAAUCCCUGUCUUGAUCCUAUCUUGUGUCUUUGAUGCUUUUUUCUAUAUUCUCUUCUCUCAAAAUACAGAAGGAGUUGUGUUUCUGGGGACUGGGGGUUGUUAGGGGGAGAUUAGGUCUCCAACAGUCUCUGUUCCCAUAUCAUCCUGGCGUUAAUCAAAAGUUUCCUUAUCAAACACAACUCGCUCAGUUGAACUCACAAAUUCCCAGGAAAGAUGUAAUUGUCUCUUAGGCUG